UCGGGAAUUUUGGGCAAUGGGCGAAAGCCUGACCCAGCAACGCCGCGUGAAGGAUGAAGUAUUUCGGUAUGUAAACUUCGAAAGAAUAGGAAGAAUAAAUGACGGUACUAUUUAUAAGGUCCGGCUAACUACGUGCCAGCAGCCGCGGUAAUACGUAGGGUGCGAGCGUUAAUCGGAAUUACUGGGCGUAAAGCGUGCGCAGGCGGUUUGGUAAGACAGAUGUGAAAUCCCCGGGCUUAACCUGGGAACUGCAUUUGUGACUGCCAGACUAGAGUGUAGCAGAGGGGGGUAGAAUUCCACGUGUAGCAGUGAAAUGCGUAGAUAUGUGGAGGAAUACCGAUGGCGAAGGCAGCCCCCUGGGCUAACACUGACGCUCAUGCACGAAAGCGUGGGGAGCAAACAGGAUUAGAUACCCAUGUAGUCCCUGAGCGGGCUGGCAAGGCGCAU
RNAcentral lists this ribosomal RNA (447 nucleotides) under uncultured bacterium. RNAcentral describes it as "bacterial SSU rRNA". It matches the Rfam family "Bacterial small subunit ribosomal RNA", at positions 355 to 825 of the family's 1533-position model. The record is from RNAcentral.